AGCUUGCUUUGAUUUCAUGAGAGUGGCGCACGGGUGCGUAACGCGUGAGCAACCUACCCAUAUCAGGGGGAUAGCCUCUCGAAAGAGAGAUUAACACCGCAUAACAUCAUUAACCGGCAUCGGAUUAUGAUCAAAUAUUUAUAGGAUAUGGAUGGGCUCGCGUGACAUUAGCUAGUUGGAGAGGUAACGGCUCACCAAGGCUACGAUGUCUAGGGGCUCUGAGAGGAGAAUCCCCCACACUGGUACUGAGACACGGACCAGACUCCUACGGGAGGCAGCAGUAAGGAAUAUUGGUCAAUGGAGGCAACUCUGAACCAGCCAUGCCGCGUGCAGGAUGACUGCCCUAUGGGUUGUAAACUGCUUUUGUCAGGGAAUAAACCUUUCUACGUGUAGAAAGCUGAAUGUACCUGAAGAAUAAGGAUCGGCUAACUCCGUGCCAGCAGCCGCGGUAAU
This 453-nucleotide ribosomal RNA is filed under the name uncultured bacterium. RNAcentral describes it as "bacterial SSU rRNA". It matches the Rfam family "Bacterial small subunit ribosomal RNA", at positions 77 to 524 of the family's 1533-position model. The record is from RNAcentral.